This 301-nucleotide ribosomal RNA is filed under the name uncultured bacterium. RNAcentral describes it as "partial 16S ribosomal RNA". It matches the Rfam family "Bacterial small subunit ribosomal RNA", at positions 509 to 807 of the family's 1533-position model. The record is from RNAcentral.
CAGCAGCCGCGGUAAUACGGAGGGUGCAAGCGUUAUCCGGAUUUAUUGGGUUUAAAGGGUCCGUAGGCGGAUCUGUAAGUCAGUGGUGAAAUCUCACAGCUUAACUGUGAAACUGCCAUUGAUACUGCAGGUCUUGAGUAAAUUUGAAGUGGCUGGAAUAAGUAGUGUAGCGGUGAAAUGCAUAGAUAUUACUUAGAACACCAAUUGCGAAGGCAGGUCACUAAGAUUUAACUGACGCUGAUGGACGAAAGCGUGGGGAGCGAACAGGAUUAGAGACCCCGGUAGUCCCUGUCUCUUAUAC